Non-coding RNA from Podarcis lilfordi (Lilford's wall lizard), 7943 nucleotides. Lineage: Eukaryota; Metazoa; Chordata; Lepidosauria; Squamata; Lacertidae. The record is from the annotation of a GenBank genome assembly.
AUAUAAUAUGAGGCCCUGAGGAGUACAAUAUGUCCAAGAGGAUUUUCCAUCAUCAUAAUGACUGCUCUGGAUUACCCCAAGGAUGAGCAAAGCACAUGAACCCUGGUUAAAAGAGGUAAGGGUUCACUCCACCAGCCGCGCUUUGGAAGUCGAAUGUUUCAGAAGUCGAAUGGAAUUCUGGAACAGGUCCUGUUUGACUUCCGAAAUACAACUGCAAUGGGAGAUCUAAAAACAGCUAUAACAUUUAUUUUCAAAGAAGUGAGUGGAAUUUGUAGGCAUGGCAGUCCUCCAGAGUGGUUCAAGCCUUUACCAUGCUGGAGUAAUUAAAAUAGGAAUUAUGAAGGGCUGGGGGGUGGUGUUUGUGUGGGGAAUGGAUUCCCAAGAAAGAUUGGAGUGAAAUAAAUGCUCCCCCCCGCCAGCAGUGUUCCUAUUUCCCCAAGGUCAUUGGUGGUGGGUGGGAUCAAGCUUUUCCCAUAGAUAUUUUUUUUGGGGGGGGGGGUUGGAAAUACAAUGGGUAGCUCUCCAUUGACUUGCAUAGGGAAAGGCACAAACCCAUGUGGAAAUCAAACACAGUUUUUAAUCCUUCUCCAAAAUAAUUGUGUUUGGAGGGUUCCAUUCCCAGCACUGAGGUGGUGCCUGUUGGGAUACUGCCAGGGAGACAAAGUCCAUCAUGACUCCACGCCGUCUCCGGACGUCCAUCGAUCUCCCGUAGACACGCAGUAUCAGCAAUUAGCGACACGAGCUCCAGAAAUAGCUUGCCACAUUCCAGAGCUGAUGCACGCUCUAUCAGCAGAUAAUGCACAGCGAAAGAUGCACUCAGGAGAGCAUUAUUUACAAGUUUAUUCAGCGUUGAUCAGAACAAAGAAAACAUGACUGCCUGCUUCAGUGUCUCAGGCACAGAGAGAGAAACGAAAGCAUAGACACAACAGAAACUUCCUGUGAACAGGAAAUACGCAGACUCUGUGACUCACAAAGCCUGCUCCCUUUUAAGGUGGAACGGAAAUAUCCUAAUAUCGCCAAACACAGAAACCUGAGAGGAUGAAUCAAAAGACAAGGACCUUGAGGAGCAGGCAGAGCCCCCUGAAUCCAAUAUCAAGGAUCUCCUUGAGGGGCCCUCUAGGCUGACACCUGAUGAAGAACUGGAACCUUCAGAGAAUAUGCACCAAUAUGCACCAAUGGGCUCAGAGUUGUCUGUCUACUUGUGACACUACUAAGGAAUAACCUGUCCUUGAUAUUCCUUCACUGCCAGCAGCUGUGAUCAUUGUGUGGUGGCUGGAAACAACACAUUUCUCUGGCUCCUUGUCAACUCACCUCUUUUGGUGAAUCCCAUGUGACAUUAACCUUGGACUGUGUCUUGACUUUACUUCCAGAUAAUUUUUGGGACCUAGCCUGAUUCUGUGUGAUUGGUCUUGGCUAGUUGAGACUAAACUGCACUUAGAAUCCUGAUUACUGAGACCUUAGUCCCUGAGGGUGACCACACUGGAGACCAAACAGUGCCUUGAGAAAGACCGCUCACCUUUUCAGGUGGGUGGCAUUGCAGCCAGGCAUCUGGGCCCUGCAGUGUCUUUUUUCAAUGAUUUAGCUCUAUAAUUCAGCACCACCUCUCUGACAGUUCUACAUUUUGCUGCAGCUAAAUUGAAAUAAAUCACUGCCUUCGAUAUGGAGGAUUCCAAAUUCAAAUGCAUGCUGUUUCAGUCCUUCUUAAAUGUUUUGGGUUCAGGGACUUUUGCUAGUGAAAUUAUACCACUCUUAUUUUGAAUCCAGAGUUGGUUACAGCAUAUGUAUUAAAAGAGCUGCAUGAUAUAAUCAUAAAAAUGCAAAUAAAGCAAUUCAUAACAAAAUUAGAUUUUUAAAAAUCCAUAAAAUAACACAAUCUUUAAAAAUAAUAGCACACCAGCUCUUAACAAAUCACUAAAUAACUAUAACUAAAGCAGCUGCAUUCCAUCUAUUUGCCUCGUUGGGUCUCUCUUCCUACAAAAACUCCCACCCAAAAUUGGUAAAUCUUAACCAAACAUAGCCUAAAUUAUAAAGAGAUAAUGCAGGGCAUAACUCAGUAGGGACACAGGUUUUCUUAUUUGCAUGCAGGUCUACUUCUACAGUCAAAUUUCAAAUGUCAAUGCUUUGCAAAAUGCCCUUGUAGCUCUAUCUUGGAACCUGUUCAGGGGGGAAAAAAUCUUCCCUAUGACAUCUGAGCAAAUACAUCUCAUCCAUGAGGAAUAUCAAUUAAUUCCUGUUCUAUUAAUGAACCAAACUAUGUCUCUCUGUCUUUCUUUCUUUUACUAUAUGUCUUUUUUUAAAAAAGCAAUAUAAAUCCCAGUAACAGUUUCAAAUCUUACUUGUGUUCUUGUUGAGAAAAAUACCACUUUGUUGAGAAAGAACCACAGCCUUCUGCAGUGACUUCUCCAGUGGCUGGUCUGUGCUCCCACCUGUGUAUGCAAGUGGAUGGACAUGCAUGUAACCCCCAUCUGGAAGCCUAAAACCUGCCUGGUACAGUUUUAUGUGGUGUUUGGGAGCGGGCGUGGUGGAAGCAGAUGUAUUGGGCAACUGAGUUAACCAGUAGAAAAAGGAACCAGAUUGUCUUUACAAUGGAACCAAUUUACGUAGAAAUCACUUGGCAGAGUGGGAGGAACUGUAUUUUGACCACAGUGGAAAAGUUCUUCAUUUUUUUUAAAGUGCCACCGGGCUCCAUCUCCUUCUGAACUCAAUAGGUCUUUCAUACAGACCCUCCUGGAUCUUAAGAUUGUCAGACGUUUUGGCUAUUUAUGUUGCCCUUAGAAAUUUAGAGUGGUGGUGGCAACCAGAGAGAGAAGAUUCUUCGUAGCAGCCCCUAAGCUGUGGAAUUCCCUCUCCAAAGAGGUGCACCCAACACCUUCAUUAUGUCAUUUUCACUGGAUGUAGAAGACGGUGGUAGAGCACCUGAUUUGCUUUGUUCAAUCUCUGGCAUCUCCAGGUAGGGUUAGGGAAAGAUCCUACCCAAAACCCUGGAGAGUCUCUGCCAGUCAAGGUAGACAGUACUGAGCUACAUGGACCAAAGAUCUAACUCAAUCCAUCUCUCUAUGCCCAUGCCAGGUGCUAGAGUUGUCUAGUUCAGGACCCACCCUAUUAUAAUGAUUUGUUUUGUCUUGAUUUUUAAUUUGUUUUAACCAGUACCAAUCUUUUAUUCCUUGGUCAGACCACACCUCAAGUACUGUGUCCAGUUCUGGACAAUUUAAGAAGGAUAUUGACAAGCUGGAACAUGUGCGGAGGAGGGCAACCAAGAUGAUUUGGAAGCCAAGCCUUAUGAGAAAUGGUUGAAGGUGCUGGGUAUGUUUAGCUUGGAAAAUAGGAGACUGAGAAGAGAUAUCAUAGCCAUCUUCAAAUAGUAUAUCAAGGGCUGUUACAUGGUAGAUGGAGCAAGCUUGCUUUCUCCUGUUCUGAUGGCUAGGACCUGAACCAAUGGCUUCAAGUUACAAGAUAGGAGAUUUUGAUCAAACAUAAGGAGGAACUUUCUGACAGUAAAAGCAGUUUGACAUUGGAAUGGUCUCUCUCAGGAGGUUGUGAACUCUCCUUCCUUGGAGGUUUUUAAGCAGAGGUUGGAUGGCCAUCUGUCAUGGACACUUUAGUUGAGAUUCCUGCAUUGCAGGGGGUUGGACUGGAUGACGCUUUAGGCUUCUCAUAGGCAUCUGGUUGGUUGGUUGGUUGGUCACUGUGGGAGAUAGACCAGGGAUAGCCAAUGGGGUGUCCACUAGAUGCUGCUGGACUCCAACUCCCAUCAGCCUCAGUCAAUAUGGCCAAUAAUCAAGAAUGAUGGGAGUUGUAGUCAGGUGACAUGCAGAUGGCACCACAUUGGCUAUCCCUUCCUUGGUGAUGUUGGAAUCAAAGCAAUGUCUACACUGACUGGAAAGACACAUUCCAGGGUUUCAGACAGGGGUCUUUCCCAGUCACUUGUGAAGAAACCAGGGAUUGAAUUUUGCACCUUCUGCAUUGACAGCUUGUGUUGUCCCCCUAAGCUGAGGGACUUCUCUGUGUCUGGGGCUACAGAGGAUGAACCAAGAAGCUGAAAUGUGUUCUGAGUUACUUAACAUAGCAGAUUAAAAGCAGGGGAUCUUUUGAGCACACUUGAUAAUUCGCAGUCUCGAGCUGCAACAAGAUGUUUUAUAUUUCUCAUUGCCAUUUUUGGUAAUUAUGCAGUAUCUCUCUCAUUCCCCUUUCUUGCACUGAUGACUAGUUAAGGGGCAUGUGAUUUAUGACUUCAGUUCCACAAAGUCAGGUGCCUGAUGUAACAGAAGAAGACCUUAUGCCCUGGACAUUGUCACCUGCUCUGCUCCUGAAUCUGCUUUAUUUUUUUGAGAGAGAUCUGUGUGUUCUUCUGGGAAGAGACUGCUCUUAUUCAAGCACAAGGCAGCCAGAACAACCAGCGACAAUGGAGAGGCAUUGCUUCUCUUCUAGACAGCAAGGAUCUUCAUAGACAGAGCUAAAUGACUGUUAUAAGACCUGCAACUUUAAAACCGUUGACUUGACAUUGCUUCUACCUACUCACUCCCAUUCUCUCCCUGUCCACGUUAUGUAUCAUGUCUAGGGAAGGGUGGAUUGGAAACACACAAAAUGUGGAUUCCAAAGCAGACUUGCCUGUUUUGAUCCUGGCAGAUAAUGACUUGGAUCAGCUCAGGAGCCCACUUUAGAAUUUACAAUCUAGUGGAUUCCUUUACAAAGUGGCCUGAACACCUCUGUUUUGCCAUUGCCCUCAUUUCAUUCCACCCUCCUUUUUUUAAAAAAUAAAAUAAAGGUCCAGCCUCCAAGACUCUUUCAGGCUGCACUGACUAGCAUGUGUGGGCUUCUUUUUGCCAUCACACACUUUUCAUAGAAUCAAGGAGCUAGUCCCCAUGGAGAAGCAGGACUUGAUGAAUCUUUGCUGCUGUCUAAGUGAAUUGUGUGGCUGCUCUGAUAUAAAUACUAGGGAUAACCAUGCUGUUUCCUUGAAAUUGUAUUUUUCCAUAAAAUUUAAUAUCAUGUGGACUCCCUCACCCCAACUUUACAUUCUGCAUGGAAAUAGGAACUGAUGGACUAUCUAGGGAUGGUGUAAAAAUUCAAUUCACAUCACAUUUAGAGGUGAGUUGACUUAAUUCACAAAACAACAUGAAAAUGCAAACACUGCCAACUUUCAAAAUGUGUCUUUGAAUUUUGCGGUAAUAGUUUGGAUUUGAUAUCCUGCUUUAUCACUACCCUAAGGAGUCUCAAAGCAGCUAACAAUCUCCUUUCCCUUCCUCCCCUACAGCAAACACUCUGUGAGGUGAGUGGGGCUGAGAGACUUCAGAGAAGUGUGACUAGCCCAAGGUCACCCAGCAGCUGCAUGUGGAGGAGCGGGGAAUCGAACCCUGUUCAUCAGAUUACGAGUCCAGCGCUCUUAACCAUUACACCACAUUAGCUCUUUUGUACAAAAAAAGCAUGCACUAGGAUAAAAUGUGCAUAAAAUGCGAAUAUUAGUGAAAGUAACAUACAAGAAUGCAUUCUAUUAGAAGAAAUUCCUUUGCAAAAAUAUCUAUAUUGGGCAAAAUGGCAUGCAAACACACACACACACAUUUUAGUUUUACAAAUUAAAAUUUACAUACAAACUCAUGAAUAUAUAUUUUUUUAAAAAAUAAGCAAACAAUGAUUAGACUGAAUCUCUGGACUUCCUCCCACCCUUCCAUGGCUUCCAUUGCCAGUCUUUUUCUGCUGCUUAUUUUUAGUCAGUUCCAUUUUUAUAUAUCCAUUGCAUCCCUAGUUCUUGUUACAUUACAAGUGUUAUUCAAAUCCUGCUAAAGAGCUCAGCUGUUUAGAGUGGUCUCCAAGGUAAGUUAUAAUUUCCCCCCAUUCUUAAUUGAAAUUCUGUUCUUCCUGGUUUCUGAUUUUCCCAGUCAUUUUCACCAUCUCCGCAUAGUCCAUCAGUUUGGUCUGCCAUUCCCAUCUGGUGGGAACUGUUUCAUCCUUCCAUCUCUGGGCUGAGAGCAUCCUUGCAGCUGGUGUUGCGUACAUUAAAAGUCUUUUUUACUCCUUUGCUAUUUCUGCACCUAUAAUUCCUAACAAAAAGGCUUCUGGUUUUUUAAACAAAAGUUAUUUUAAUCACCCCCCCCAAUUUAUUAUAUAUCAUUUCCCAGAAUUCUUUUUAUAACCUUACAUUUCCUCAAACAUGUUAUUUUAGGGGAAAAGUCACACUAAAAUGGUGAUCAAUUUCCACGAGGACUUCUUUAAAAAAAUGGCAAAUGAAUGUGGAGAACAGAACUUAAGAUUACAAAAAGAAACUGAAACCGACUGACUCAUGCAUGUCUAGUCUCAACUCCAUGUAGAACUGAGAUGGGUCAGACUUUGAUAGGUCCAUCCACAACCUAAUCAAGUCUAUUUCGAUUAUGACCCUGACCCCCAUACGCACAGCCCAGGCUUAUACCCCAAAGUGGUCACUUACACCCUGGAGAGGUGCUGCUAACAUAGUGGUUUAACUUUGCCCCUGGAGACACACUCCACUGUCUCUUGAGACAGACAGAUGCCAACAACCCUUCAUUAUGGCCAAUGGGCAGAAUAUACAGUGGUACCUUGGGUUACAGACGCUUCAGGUUACAGACGCUUCAGGUUACAGAACCAGAAAUAGUACCUCGGGUUAAGAACUUUGUUUCAGGAUGAGCACAGAAAUCGCGCAGUGGCGGCACGGUGGCAGCAGGAGGCCCCAUUAGCUAAAGUGGUACCUCAGGUUAAGAACAGUUUCAGGUUAAGAAUGGACCUCCGGAACGAAUUAAGUUCUUAACCUGAGGUACCAUUGUAUAUGCCUCAAAGAAAUGUAUACAGUGGUGACCAGCCAUAGGGGCUGGUAGGCAGAAGGCAGAGGGGCCCACAGAAGGCAGAGCUAGAGCCAGUGAUAGGCAGAGCCAACUAAUUCUACUUCUGUCCCUGUCCUCCUUACUCAUGACUUCUAGAAGCGCAACAUUACGACCAAGGAAGAAGCGAACCGCCAGUGUCCCCUGGGGUGAGGGCUCACUGAGGGCACAUUUCAGUGGACCAUUUUUCUCUGAAUCUAUGUUACUGCAUGCCCCUGUUCCACAUUACUGAUGACAGAUAUCACAAAACACAAUUCCCAAACUAGAAUCUGUAGUUAGAUGAGAGGGAACUAGUGAUGUGGCUUCCAUUUUAGAAGAGAAUGUGCCCUUUUAAUGAAGUGUAGUUGAAGUCUGUUUGAGUUCACACGCGACAUAUUUUCUAUAAGGGUUGUUGCAGCAUUGAGUUUCUGGAAAAGCAGAUGCUGGGACUUGUAUACAUCUGGCAACAACAGUGACUCAUCCAGAGUCCUUCUGUCAAUUUUUUUUUUGGGGGGGGCGAGUCUCUGGAGUAACUUGGUGAUUAAGGAAAAUGCAAUCCACAGCUGCUCAGAGGAACUGUUGCAGACCAUCCACCGCAGUGGCUUGAAGAUCUUGCCACUUAUAAGGUAUGGUUUAUAAUUGUCAAUUUCAUUUGGAGACCUGUUUGGACAACUUGCAUUAACAUACAGUUUAAUGCAGGAUUGAUGGAAAAGUCUUCUUGCCAAUGGCAGCUAGGAAUGGAUUUUUGUUGAUAUAUCACACCUGUGAAAUUAGCUAAAAUGUAUAAUACAAGUAAUAAAUGUUGGAAAUGUAAAGAAAAAGAAGUAUCAUUUUAUCAUAUGUGGUGGGAAUGUAAGAAAGUAAAAAACUUCUGGGAAAUGAUAUAUAAUGAGAUGAAAAAGAUAUUGAAAUAUACAUUUUUAAAAAGACCAGAAGCAUUUUUACUUGGUAUUAUAAGUGAGGACAUUAAUAGACAGGAUAUUAAACUGUUUUUAUACCCAACAACAGCGGCAAGUGUUGGCCCAGAAAUGGAAACAAGAAGAAAUACCGAUGAAAGAAGAAUGGCAGACGAAAUUAACGGACUACGCAGAAUUGGAUAAAAUGACAGGAAGCAUUCGAAAACCUGCAGGACCAGAG